This 460-nucleotide ribosomal RNA is filed under the name uncultured bacterium. Its description in RNAcentral is "partial 16S ribosomal RNA". It matches the Rfam family "Bacterial small subunit ribosomal RNA", at positions 338 to 795 of the family's 1533-position model. The record is from RNAcentral.
CCUACGGGGGGCAGCAGUGAGGAAUAUUGGUCAAUGGACGAGAGUCUGAACCAGCCAAGUAGCGUGAAGGAUGACUGCCCUAUGGGUUGUAAACUUCUUUUAUAUGGGAAUAAAACGUUCCACGUGUGGGAUUUUGUAUGUACCAUAUGAAUAAGGAUCGGCUAACUCCGUGCCAGCAGCCGCGGUAAUACGGAGGAUCCGAGCGUUAUCCGGAUUUAUUGGGUUUAAAGGGAGCGUAGGUGGAUAGUUAAGUCAGUUGUGAAAGUUUGCGGCUCAACCGUAAAAUUGCAGUUGAAACUGGCAGUCUUGAGUACAGUAGAGGUGGGCGGAAUUCGUGGUGUAGCGGUGAAAUGCUUAGAUAUCACGCAGAACUCCGAUUGCGAAGGCAGUUCACUGGACUGCAACUGACACUGAGGCUCGAAAGUGUGGGUAUCAAACAGGAUUAGAUACCCGUGUAGUC